Molecule: transfer RNA, 75 nt
Filed under: Candidatus Uhrbacteria bacterium RIFCSPHIGHO2_01_FULL_47_10
Lineage: Bacteria; Candidatus Uhriibacteriota
Also listed under: 9 other names
Description: tRNA-Gly
Rfam family: tRNA
About the family: Transfer RNA (tRNA) molecules are approximately 80 nucleotides in length. Their secondary structure includes four short double-helical elements and three loops (D, anti-codon, and T loops). Further hydrogen bonds mediate the characteristic L-shaped molecular structure. tRNAs have two regions of fundamental functional importance: the anti-codon, which is responsible for specific mRNA codon recognition, and the 3' end, to which the tRNAs corresponding amino acid is attached (by aminoacyl-tRNA synthetases). tRNAs cope with the degeneracy of the genetic code in two manners: having more than one tRNA (with a specific anti-codon) for a particular amino acid; and 'wobble' base-pairing, i.e. permitting non-standard base-pairing at the 3rd anti-codon position.
Source: RNAcentral
GCGGGUAUCGUAUAGCGGUUAUUAUCUCAGUUUUCCAAACUGAUGAUGCGGGUUCGACUCCCGCUACCCGCUCCA